This 66-nucleotide transfer RNA is filed under the name chicken gut metagenome. It matches the Rfam family "tRNA". Rfam says of the family: Transfer RNA (tRNA) molecules are approximately 80 nucleotides in length. The record is from RNAcentral.
GUCUAUAGCCAAGUGGUAAGGCACAGGACUGCAACUCCUCGAUCGUUGGUUCAAAUCCGACUAGGC